This 70-nucleotide transfer RNA is filed under the name Camelus dromedarius (Arabian camel). It matches the Rfam family "tRNA". From Rfam's summary of the family: Transfer RNA (tRNA) molecules are approximately 80 nucleotides in length. Their secondary structure includes four short double-helical elements and three loops (D, anti-codon, and T loops). Further hydrogen bonds mediate the characteristic L-shaped molecular structure. tRNAs have two regions of fundamental functional importance: the anti-codon, which is responsible for specific mRNA codon recognition, and the 3' end, to which the tRNAs corresponding amino acid is attached (by aminoacyl-tRNA synthetases). tRNAs cope with the degeneracy of the genetic code in two manners: having more than one tRNA (with a specific anti-codon) for a particular amino acid; and 'wobble' base-pairing, i.e. permitting non-standard base-pairing at the 3rd anti-codon position. The record is from Rfam by way of RNAcentral. Lineage: Eukaryota; Metazoa; Chordata; Mammalia; Artiodactyla; Camelidae. RNAcentral also lists the same sequence under 1 other name.
GGGUAUAGCUCAGUGGUAGAGUGUGUGCUUAGCAUGCACGAGGUCCUAGGUUCAAUCCCCAGUACCUCCA